GGAUGCAUGGCUUAAGUGGUAAAGCAUCUGUUUUGUAAGCACAAGGACAUGAGUUCAAACCCCUAUACUGUCA
Molecule: transfer RNA, 73 nt
Filed under: Dipodomys ordii (Ord's kangaroo rat)
Lineage: Eukaryota; Metazoa; Chordata; Mammalia; Rodentia; Heteromyidae
Rfam family: tRNA
About the family: Transfer RNA (tRNA) molecules are approximately 80 nucleotides in length. Their secondary structure includes four short double-helical elements and three loops (D, anti-codon, and T loops).
Source: Rfam by way of RNAcentral